GAAACUUAGGUUAACUAAAACCAAAGACCUUCAAAGUCCAAAAUAAGAGAUAGAUCUCCUAGUUUCUG
RNAcentral lists this transfer RNA (68 nucleotides) under Hoplodactylus sp. Okarito. RNAcentral describes it as "tRNA-Trp". The record is from RNAcentral. Lineage: Eukaryota; Metazoa; Chordata; Lepidosauria; Squamata; Diplodactylidae.